RNAcentral lists this ribosomal RNA (266 nucleotides) under uncultured bacterium. RNAcentral's name for it is "partial 16S ribosomal RNA". It matches the Rfam family "Bacterial small subunit ribosomal RNA", at positions 88 to 354 of the family's 1533-position model. The record is from RNAcentral.
CCGGCGACCGGCGCACGGGUGAGUAACACGUAUGGAACCUGCCCGCAGCAGGGGGAUAAGCGGAAGAAAUUCCGUCUAAUACCGCGUAGCAACGUUGGGAGGCAUCUCCCGAUGUUUAAAGAUUUAUCGGCUGCGGAUGGCCAUGCGGCGCAUUAGCUAGUCGGCGGGGUAACGGCCCACCGAGGCGACGAUGCGUAGGGGUUCUGAGAGGAAGGUCCCCCACACUGGUACUGAGACACGGACCAGACUCCUACGGGAGGCAGCAG